Molecule: non-coding RNA, 653 nt
Organism: Paramormyrops kingsleyae
Lineage: Eukaryota; Metazoa; Chordata; Actinopteri; Osteoglossiformes; Mormyridae
Source: RefSeq, a predicted model, not a curated record
UCGCAGCAGUUCGGGGCGCGCGGCGGGCGGGGCUGCGCGCAGCUUGAGGCGAAGCAUGUGACUUGAUGGUUGCUACGCUCGGUUUUUUAAUAUGACAUCACUGCUUUUUAGGAACGGUAGCUGGAAAACGAAUAUAAUUUCAGCAUAAACCAGUCUCCGACAAACUGACAACUUUUUGGUUAUUAUUGUCCUCGUAAAAGCAGCGGUAUCCUCCUACGUAGCUUUGGAAUAAGUGACGGACGCGAGGUUCAGCUCACUGAGGACUCAUCAAGUACAGCUUUCAAACCUGUGGUGGAAAACCUGGCAGGAUUGUCAAGAAUCCCGCAGGGAUAAUGCCGCUCUCUGCAAAGCACAGAGUAAAACCACCGUCAUCGUGUUAAUGCAGACUACAAAACCUUCGUUCUUGAACUACUUGUAACAUUGAAAGGCAGUUCAGGAGGAACUGCAAAGGUAUGUAACCAGUACUCUAUUUUUUUAUGCUGCUUGACUUGACAGCUCUUGAUGUUAUUAACAUGCCAAAAAAGUUUCAGUUAAGCAAUUUACAGCAAUUGAACUGUGAACUGGCUUUUAGAAUCAUACCAUUCUUUUGUAAUUCAAGCCUAUAUGUAUUAGGAAAUGACUUUUGUGCAAUAGUUGUCCAAUUUCCAUGAGUU